This 1926-nucleotide small RNA is filed under the name Pan troglodytes (chimpanzee). RNAcentral's name for it is "processed transcript". The record is from RNAcentral. Lineage: Eukaryota; Metazoa; Chordata; Mammalia; Primates; Hominidae.
CUGGCUUCAAGUGAGAGCCUCCUGCCUUGGCCUCCGAAAGUGCUGGAAUUACAGGCCCACUAUUCCACAGGGAAGGUCAGCGCUUCCUUCACCUCCACCGCGAUGGUCCCGGAGACCACACAUGAAGCAGCUGCCAUCGACGAGGAUGUGCUGCGCUACCAGUUUGUGAAGAAGAAGGGCUACGUGCGGCUGCACACCAACAAGGGCGACCUCAACCUGGAGCUGCACUGCGACCUGACACCAAAAACCUGCGAAAACUUCAUCAGGCUUUGCAAGAAGCAUUAUUACGAUGGCACCAUCUUCCACAGAUCCAUCCGGAACUUUGUGAUCCAAGGGGGCGACCCCACAGGCACAGGCACGGGUGGGGAGUCAUACUGGGGGAAGCCCUUCAAAGAUGAGUUCCGGCCCAACCUCUCACACACGGGCCGCGGCAUCCUCAGCAUGGCCAACUCCGGGCCCAACAGCAACAAGUCUCAAUUCUUCAUCACGUUUCGCUCCUGUGCCUACCUGGACAAGAAGCACACCAUCUUUGGACGGGUUGUUGGGGGCUUUGACGUACUGACAGCCAUGGAGAAUGUGGAGAGUGACCCCAAAACUGACCGCCCUAAGGAGGAGAUCCGCAUUGAUGCCACUACAGUGUUCGUGGACCCCUAUGAGGAGGCCGAUGCCCAGAUCGCGCAGGAGCGGAAGACACAGCUCAAGGUAGCCCCGGAGACCAAAGUGAAGAGCAGCCAGCCCCAGGCAGGGAGCCAGGGCCCCCAGACCUUCCGCCAGGGCGUGGGCAAGUACAUCAACCCAGCAGCCACGAAGCGAGCGGCAGAGGAAGAGCCCUCAACCAGUGCCACUGUCCCCAUGUCCAAGAAGAAGCCCAGUCGGGGUUUUGGGGACUUCAGCUCCUGGUAGCAGCAGGCUGCCUGAUGACCGCUAGAGGUAUGUCUGCCCCUCGUCACCCUGCUGCACACCAAUCUGUGGCCCUUCAUCAUGCUAAGAACAAGAACUGCGCCGUGGCUGGCUCCUUCUCUUCUCCAGCCCAUCCCUCUGCAGCCUGUCAUCCCUGUCUGUGACCAUUGGUCGGGCCCCUGGGCUCUAGGGUGACUUUUGACGCCCUCCAUCCCUCCCGCCAGGCACUGUCCUCCGCAAGGCCUGGUGCAGCCCUGGCAGUAACUGGCUUGUAAGAGGCUCAGACACCAAGCUGGGCCUGCAGAGGAGGGGCACAGUAGGACACAGUGACUGCCCAGGUGUCCACACACCUGUAGGCCUCUGAGCCAGCGUCCAGGGUACAGGUGCGGGUGGUGGGGAUGAAGGCCUGACCAGGGAGGGAGAAGCAGGUUUGGAGAGGACCCUGUGCCCACCCUGACAGACACCCUGGCUGGCCCUGACUGACUGUAUUCUCUGGCCACAUUCAAAUCCCCCAUUGGUGGGGGCAGAGAAGUAGGACCAGGCCGCCCUUGGCUCCAGAGCUCGAAGACCCCAAGACAGCCCUGUGCUCUCAGCGGCGCCACAGAGAGCCUGGGCUCAGCCUUCUGCAUCAGGACAUGGCCUCGUCCACUAAGGGCACGAUUUAAACAUUUGACAUCAGAAGCUUUAUUUGUAAACCUCACACAGAUAAGGACCAAGGGCUGGCGGUGUGGCUAGAGGACAGGGGAAGCUGAAGGCCCCGUGCUUGAGCUCGGCAGUCCUGCUCCUUGCAGUGAAGCCACCGUGGGUGACCGUCCAGCCUCACCCGGUGGCCUGCACAGUGAGGGAAGGGCUUCAGGGCCAUCUGCUCCCAGGGCAGGGGACAGGCCACCAAGGACCUUUGGCAAAUGAAGGUUUACAUUUCUGUAGUUUGUUUGUUUUAGAGCUUAAUUUGUAGUUUUUUAGCUAUUAAAACCAUUUGAAUUUUUAAUGACCUGAUGAGGGCAUCAGGUAAAUUAAAGGAUUUUG